This 492-nucleotide ribosomal RNA is filed under the name uncultured bacterium. Its description in RNAcentral is "partial 16S ribosomal RNA". It matches the Rfam family "Bacterial small subunit ribosomal RNA", at positions 29 to 507 of the family's 1533-position model. The record is from RNAcentral.
AGUGAACGCUGGCGGUAGGCCUAACACAUGCAAGUCGAACGGCAGCACAGUAAGAGCUUGCUCUUACGGGUGGCGAGUGGCGGGCGGGUGCUGAAUACAUCGGAAUCUACUUUUUCGUGGGGGAUAACGUAGGGAAACUUACGCUAAUACCGCAUACGACCUACGGGUGAAAGCAGGGGAUCUUCGGACCUUGCGCGAUUCAAUGAGCCGAUGUCGGAUUAGCUAGUUGGCGGGGUAAAGGCCCACCAAGGCGACGAUCCGUAGCUGGUCUGAGAGGAUGAUCAGCCACACUGGAACUGAGACACGGUCCAGACUCCUACGGGAGGCAGCAGUGGGGAAUAUUGGACAAUGGGCGAAAGCCUGAUCCAGCCAUACCGCGUGGGUGAAGAAGGUCUUCGGAUUGUAAAGCACUUUUGUUGGGAAAGAAAAGCAGUAGGUUAAUACCUCGCUGUUCUGACGUUACCCAAAGAAUAAGCACCGGCUAACUUCGUG